RNAcentral lists this ribosomal RNA (119 nucleotides) under Nitrososphaerota archaeon. Lineage: Archaea; Thermoproteati; Nitrososphaerota. The record is from RNAcentral.
GUAGCCGGCCAUAGCGGUAGGGUUCCACCCGGUCUCAUCCGAACCCGGAAGUUAAACCUAUCGACGCCGUUGUGCUAGCAAAGUGCGCGAGCCUUUGUGAAGCAACGGUGCCGGCGAUC